Gasterosteus aculeatus aculeatus (three-spined stickleback) is the source of this 384-nucleotide long non-coding RNA. The record is from Ensembl. NCBI's taxonomy places the organism in Eukaryota, Metazoa, Chordata, Actinopteri, Perciformes, Gasterosteidae.
UUCAAAGACUCUGAAUUGAUCAACGUUUUCACAUCUCCGGCCAAAGACCAGAGCGCUUUGGGGAAUUGGAUGAUGUGUCGUCUCAACGUGAGAAGCUGUGAGCGACAUCUUCGUGGGAGUAAUGAAUGUACGUGCAGCGCAAACCAGAGAAGAUGCUGAGCAGAAUGUCCCAAAAUCAGCACCUUCAUCCAUCGAGAGGAUCAAAGAGACAAACUCCGGAUGGACAAAGACAGCGUCAUUGUUCCAGUGAAGUUAGAGUAGAAGUAAGUAAAGUACGACAUAGAAACCACUGAACGCGUCUCCUGAUGAUAUGAAAUGAAUCAGAGAGCCAAUAAGAAGCAUAUCCGCCCCCGACUCGUCAGCUAAACGCAAGUGGAGUCUCGC